UUCUGGGUCGGGGUUUCGUACGU
RNAcentral lists this non-coding RNA (23 nucleotides) under Gallus gallus (chicken). The record is from RNAcentral. RNAcentral also lists the same sequence under 4 other names. Lineage: Eukaryota; Metazoa; Chordata; Aves; Galliformes; Phasianidae.